Molecule: long non-coding RNA, 2079 nt
Filed under: Cricetulus griseus (Chinese hamster)
Lineage: Eukaryota; Metazoa; Chordata; Mammalia; Rodentia; Cricetidae
Description: lncRNA (ENSCGRG00000026494.1)
Source: RNAcentral
GUUGUGUGCUUCUGUGUGUGCAUAGUACACUUAUGGGGGAAGGGGUUAGGAAUAGGAGCAGUCAAUCUCCCUAACCUCAAGGUUAAGCUGAGCCAUGCAGUUAUGAGAAUUAACCAACCACCUACCUCUGAGUCUUUAGGAACUUCCCUGUGUCACAAAAUCUUGUAAAUUUUGUUAAUAACCACCAGGUGAAUGAAAUAAUUUUUAUGCUUUAUUGUAAAUAACAGGUCAGUGUGAAGCGAGACCAGUGCGACCUCAUGACUCGUCGCUGUCUGCUCCCCUGCACAAGCAGUAUAUGUUUGUUACUCCAUCUCUUUUGUCAGCCAUCUGCAGCCUUUUAGACAACCUCUUGGCUGUUACUCCAAGAGAUGCUGCAAAUGCAUUGCAACAAGCCCAUCUCAUAGAGCUUCUGUGUAGUACUGUGGAUGCCUCUGUCAUAGAGAUGUGUAUCCAGGAACUCAAGACCCCGCCACCAUUCUCAUCUGCUGUUGAGCAUAUUCUAGCUCAGGCUUCCUUUCUCUUGGAGUACCUGUCCUCUUUGUCCCAGCUUUUGCAGUCCUGUCUGUUGGUAGAUCCUAACCUUGUGACACAGGAGGAGCUCCUGAAACCUCUUAUCACCAAUGUCAUCCGAGUUCUCAUUGUUUGCACCAAAGAUGUAUUAGAUGCACAGUUAGUAUCGGCUUUUCAUCGCACAUGGACGCAUUUAUUUGACCUUCUGGCCACAUUCCUGAGGAAAGUUGGUGUUGUUUCCUUGCUUCUUAUUACCUCAACUGUUGCCAAGCACUGGGAGGCAGUGAUUGAUACAUUGUGCAGAUGUGUAGGUUUGUCAGUCAGGUGUCCUGCCCUGAGUAUUGCCAGCCUCCAGUUCCUGUCUGUCCUUUUGGCGGAGGAAGAAAAGAGGCGUCUCCAGGACAAGGACAGAGCAAAUGCAUGCCAGGUCCCAACAUUGGCUUCACUUCUUGAUGGAGCUCAGGAAAGUCAUAAAUCUUCAGAGCGACUUAAUGAAACAAUUCUUCAGUGCUAUGAAGGAAAAUCCCCCAAAGAUUUCUUGAAAAGAGUUGCUGCAAAUGCAUUGAUGUCACUUCUGGCUGUCAGCAGAAGAGCGCAGACGCAUGCUUUGAGAGCUGACCUCAUAGAGAACUGCAUGGAGCGGAUGAAGCAUAUCACCGCACAACUGAACCUGGAUGUGCUGAGGCCUGGGAAGGCAACACUGAAAAAAAAGGUGGCAGCUCUUGAAGCACGUCUUGUGCCCAUUCUGCACUCUCUUUGGCCUUGGCUUUUGAUGGAGGAUUCACUGAUGCAAAUUGCUUUGCAGUUGCUUUGUGUCUAUACUGCUAAUUUUCCAACUGGCUGCAGUUCUCUUUGUUGGUCAAAUUAUGGACAAUCUGUUCAAACUGCCCACAGGGGCACUCCCAGCAGCUCCCUGAUACUGUGUAUCCUGAAGCUUGCUUCUCAGAUGCCUGCAGAGAACACCACCAUUCAGCAGAUGGUUUUUAUGUUUCUUUCAAACCUGGCCUUAUCUCAUGACUGCAAGGGAGUAAUUCAGAAGAGCAACUUCCUACAGCACUUCCUGUCCCUGACAUUGCCUAAAGGAGGAAAUAAACAUCUCAGCAAUCUGGCCAUUCUGUGGUUGAAGUUACUCCUAAACAUAUCAUUUGCAGAAGAUGGACAGCAAAUGAUCCUGAGGCUGGAUGGCUGCUUAGACUUACUCACAGAGAUGAGCAAAUACAAGCAUAAGAGCAGCCCUUACAUACCUCUGCUGAUUGUUCAUAACAUUUGCUUCAGUCCUGCUAAUAAGCCCAAAAUCCUGGCUAAUGAAAAAAUUGUUACCCUUCUGGCUACCUGUUUAGAAAGUGAGAAUCAAAAUGCCCAGAGGAUUGGAGCUGCUUCACUUUGGGCUCUUAUUUACAAUUAUCAAAAGGCAAAAGCAACUUUGAAAAAUCCAUCAAUAAAAAGAAGAGUAGAUGAAGCAUAUUCCAUAGCAAAGAGAAGUAAGUUCCAAGAGAGUACAAUUAAAUUUGAUGAGUCCUAACUGAAAUUUUUGGUUUCUGAAAUACUUGAACAGGCCAUUGCAAAAUG